Molecule: transfer RNA, 69 nt
Filed under: Smicrornis brevirostris (Weebill)
Lineage: Eukaryota; Metazoa; Chordata; Aves; Passeriformes; Acanthizidae
Description: tRNA-Gly
Source: RNAcentral
ACUCUUCUAGUAUACUUAUUAUAAUGGACUUCCAAUCCAUAGAAUCUGGCAGAAACCCAGAGAAGAGUA